This 635-nucleotide ribosomal RNA is filed under the name uncultured bacterium. RNAcentral describes it as "bacterial SSU rRNA". It matches the Rfam family "Bacterial small subunit ribosomal RNA", at positions 202 to 839 of the family's 1533-position model. The record is from RNAcentral.
GAAAGAAUAUCGGAGACGGAUGGGCAUGCGGCGCAUUAGCUAGUUGGCGGGGUAACGGCCCACCAAGGCGACGAUGCGUAGGGGUUCUGAGAGGAAGGUCCCCCACACUGGUACUGAGACACGGACCAGACUCCUACGGGAGGCAGCAGUGAGGAAUAUUGGUCAAUGGGCGAGAGCCUGAACCAGCCAAGUCGCGUGAGGGAGUACUGCCCUAUGGGUUGUAAACCUCUUUUGUCGGGGAGCAAAAGCCGGACGUGUCCGGCUGUGAGAGUACCCGAAGAAAAAGCAUCGGCUAACUCCGUGCCAGCAGCCGCGGUAAUACGGAGGAUGCGAGCGUUAUCCGGAUUUAUUGGGUUUAAAGGGUGCGCAGGCGGAUUUUUAAGUCAGCGGUCAAAUCGUGGGGCUCAACCCCAUCCAGCCGUUGAAACUGGGGAUCUAGAGUGUGCGAGAGGUAUGCGGAAUGCGUGGUGUAGCGGUGAAAUGCAUAGAUAUCACGCAGAACCCCGAUUGCGAAGGCAGCAUACCGGUGCACAACUGACGCUCAGGCACGAAAGCGUGGGUAUCGAACAGGAUUAGAUACCCUGGUAGUCCACGCAGUAAACGAUGAAUGCUACCUGUUUGGCCAGAUUGAAGGC